AGCACCACAACGGGUGGAGCUUGCGGUUUAAUUGGAUUCAACGCCGGAAAUCUUACCGGGACCGACAGCAAUAUGAAGGCCAGGCUGAAGACUUUGCCGGAUUAGCUGAGAGGUGGUGCAUGGCCGUCGUCAGUUCGUACUGUGAAGCAUCCUGUUAAGUCAGGCAACGAGCGAGACCCACGCCCACAGUUGCCAGCGUACUCUCCGGAGUGACGGGUACACUGUGGGGACCGCCGCUGCUAAAGCGGAGGAAGGAAUGGGCAACGGUAGGUCAGUAUGCCCCGAAUAUCCCGGGCUACACGCGAGCUACAAUGGUUGGUACAAUGGGUAUCUACCCCGAAAGGGGACGGGAAUCUCCUAAAACCAAUCUUAGUUCGGAUUGAGGGCUGCAACUCGCCCUCAUGAAGCUGGAAUCCGUAGUAAUCGCGUUUCAACAGAACGCGGUGAAUACGUCCCUGCUCCUU
This 464-nucleotide ribosomal RNA is filed under the name uncultured Methanosaeta sp. RNAcentral describes it as "bacterial SSU rRNA". It matches the Rfam family "Archaeal small subunit ribosomal RNA", at positions 875 to 1338 of the family's 1478-position model. Lineage: Archaea; Methanobacteriati; Methanobacteriota; Methanomicrobia; Methanotrichales; Methanotrichaceae. The record is from RNAcentral.